UCCUUCCUUUUUUUCUUUUUUCUUUAAACUUAGAACAUAUAAGAUUAUCAUUUUUCUUUUUACUAUUUAUGUCAUAAUUAUUUUCAGAAUGAUCAUGUUUCUCUAAUUUCACAUAUUGAAUUUGAAAAUUUCAGACGAUAGAGUUUUGGCGUGAAGUUGAGAUUCUUUCAAAGCUUCACCAUCCAAAUGUGGUGGCCUUUUAUUGUGUGGUGCAGGAUGGACCGGUGUUCAUUUGAAGGUGGUAUUGCGGGAGAAUCUGGAUCCGAGGCUCAUGGUGGUUAUGUUUCUCUGCCUUUAUUCAUUUUAUCUUGUUGGAUGUUGUGUUCUCCAGCUUUCAUUGGUGGGAUGAUAAAAGAUAUGAUUGUUCAAUCUCUAUAUAAAUUGAAGGUUCACAAUAUCAUGGAAGUAUACCUUUUGUGGUUUGGCUACUUUGAUUCUGAUCAAUGAGGUUCACCGAUUGGACUUGCGGAGUUUACUUGUAAGACUUUGCUGAGGAAAAUUAAUCACCAUUGCUAAUCCUGCUCUUCAUUUGUAUUAAGACCAUGCUGUUUGGCUUCAAUGCUACAUGUUAUUUUGACA
Molecule: long non-coding RNA, 579 nt
Organism: Cucumis melo (muskmelon)
Lineage: Eukaryota; Viridiplantae; Streptophyta; Magnoliopsida; Cucurbitales; Cucurbitaceae
Exons: 3
Source: RefSeq, a predicted model, not a curated record